RNAcentral lists this ribosomal RNA (253 nucleotides) under uncultured bacterium. RNAcentral's name for it is "partial 16S ribosomal RNA". It matches the Rfam family "Bacterial small subunit ribosomal RNA", at positions 524 to 776 of the family's 1533-position model. RNAcentral also lists the same sequence under 1 other name. The record is from RNAcentral.
GACGAGGGACCCUAGCGUUGUUCGGAAUCAUUGGGCGUAAAGCGGGUGCAGGUGGCUUUAUAAGUCAGAUGUGAAAGCCCUGGGCUUAACCCAGGAAGUGCAUUUGAUACUGCAAAGCUUGAGUGCUGGAGAGGUUACUGGAAUACCUGGUGUAGUGGUGAAAUACGUAGAUAUCAGGUGGAACACCGGUGGCGAAGGCGGGUAACUGGCCAGACACUGACACUCAAACCCGAAAGCGUGGGGAUCAAACAGG